AUUGAACGCUGGCGGCAUGCCUUACACAUGCAAGUCGAACGGUAACAGGGAGCUUGCUCCGCUGACGAGUGGCGAACGGGUGAGUAAUAUAUCGGAACGUACCUUUGAGUGGGGGAUAACUAGUCGAAAGACUAGCUAAUACCGCAUACGAUCUACGGAUGAAAGCGGGGGAUCGCAAGACCUCGUGCUCAUAGAGCGGCCGAUAUCUGAUUAGCUAGUUGGUGAGGUAAAGGCUCACCAAGGCAUCGAUCAGUAGCUGGUCUGAGAGGACGACCAGCCACACUGGGACUGAGACACGGCCCAGACUCCUACGGGAGGCAGCAGUGGGGAAUUUUGGACAAUGGGGGCAACCCUGAUCCAGCAAUGCCGCGUGAGUGAAGAAGGCCUUCGGGUUGUAAAGCUCUUUGUCAGGGAAGAAACCGGGAUGUCCUAAUACGGUGUCCUAAUGACGGUACCUGAAGAAUAAGCACCGGCUAACUACGUGCCAGCAGCCGCGGUAAUACGUAGGGUGCAAGCGUUAAUCGGAAUUACUGGGCGUAAAGCGUGCGCAGGCGGUUGUGUAAGACAGGUGUGAAAUCCCCGGGCUUAACCUGGGAAUGGCAUUUGUGACUGCACGGCUAGAGUGUGUCAGAGGGGGGUAGAAUUCCACGUGUAGCAGUGAAAUGCGUAGAGAUGUGGAGGAAUACCGAUGGCGAAGGCAGCCCCCUGGGAUAACACUGACGCUCAUGCACGAAAGCGUGGGGAGCAAACAGGAUUAGAUACCCUGGUAGUCCACGCCCUAAACGAUGUCUACUAGUUGUCGGGUCUUAAUUGACUUGGUAACGCAGCUAACGCGUGAAGUAGACCGCCUGGGGAGUACGGUCGCAAGAUUAAAACUCAAAGGAACUGACGGGGACCCGCACAAGCGGUGGAUGAUGUGGAUUAAUUCGAUGCAACGCGAAAAACCUUACCUACCCUUGACAUGGAAGGAAUCCUGAAGAGAUUUGGGAGUGCUCGAAAGAGAACCUUUACACAGGUGCUGCAUGGCUGUCGUCAGCUCGUGUCGUGAGAAUGUUGGGUUAAGUCCCGCAACGAGCGCAACCCUUGUCAUUAGUUGCUACGAAAGGGCACUCUAAUGAGACUGCCGGUGACAAACCGGAGGAAGGUGGGGAUGACGUCAAGUCCUCAUGGCCCUUAUGGGUAGGGCUUCACACGUCAUACAAUGGUACAUACAGAGGGCCGCCAACCCGCGAGGGGGAGCUAAUCCCAGAAAGUGUAUCGUAGUCCGGAUUGUAGUCUGCAACUCGACUACAUGAAGUUGGAAUCGCUAGUAAUCGCGGAUCAGCAUGUCGCGGUGAAUACGUUCCCGGGUCUUGUACACACCGCCCGUCACACCAUGGGAGCGGGUUUUACCAGAAGUAGGUAGCCUAACCGUAAGGAGGGCGCUUACCACGGUAGGAUUCGUGACUGGGGUG
This 1454-nucleotide ribosomal RNA is filed under the name uncultured Collimonas sp. Its description in RNAcentral is "bacterial SSU rRNA". It matches the Rfam family "Bacterial small subunit ribosomal RNA". Lineage: Bacteria; Pseudomonadati; Pseudomonadota; Betaproteobacteria; Burkholderiales; Oxalobacteraceae. The record is from RNAcentral.